UACGUAGGGUGCAAGCGUUAAUCGGAAUUACUGGGCGUAAAGCGUGCGCAGGCGGCUAUGCAUGACAGAUGUGAAAUCCCCGGGCUUAACCUGGGAACUGCAUUCGUGACUGCAUGGCUAGAGUACGGCAGAGGGGGAUGGAAUUCCGCGUGUAGCAGUGAAAUGCGUAGAUAUGCGGAGGAACACCGAUGGCGAAGGCAAUCCCCUGGGCCUGUACUGACGCUGAGGCACGAAAGCGUGGGGAGCAAACAGG
RNAcentral lists this ribosomal RNA (253 nucleotides) under uncultured bacterium. Its description in RNAcentral is "partial 16S ribosomal RNA". It matches the Rfam family "Bacterial small subunit ribosomal RNA", at positions 524 to 776 of the family's 1533-position model. The record is from RNAcentral.